GCGAGAUCGUGACCUGGCUGAAGUCGGACGCUUAACCGACUGCGCCACCCAGGCGCCCCUAGUAACAGUCAUUCUUAACAGAAGAUCCUUGUCACAGUUGAUAAUCCUAUCUAGAUCCUUUUGUGUCCAGCUAAGGACCUCAAUUGUAUCUAGAACCUCCUGAGGGUCUUUGGCUGGUAGUCAUAAUUGUGGUUUCACACUGUUGUUGUUUUUAAAGGUGAAGGGGAUUAUACUGGGGAAAAAUGACUUUUCCUUCCUUUUCAAAAGCAGGGCAGUUGAUUUCUAUAAUGAGAACUUGUAAAUGCAUAGGUUUCUUUACAACCUUUAUAUUCAAAUUUUCUGCACAUUUAAGAGUAGAAAUGCAUAAUUUCCAUAUAUAUUUACUUUUGUACGGCAUACCUUACAAAACAUUUUUUUAAAGAUCAAAAGUCAAAGGAUACAAUAACAUGUCGAUCAGAUGGGUUUCGCUGUCGUGUUCUUUCUAACUGAGUUAACUGUUUAGCUUCUCGAUUCCUUGCUGUUAAUGUUGCUUUGAGGUCAUCCUGAAAAGAGGCAUUUAUGAUUAAUACAAAUCUCUGAUUUAAGAAGUAAUAUAUACACACUCUGUUUUAAGAAUGGGAAAACACUCCUUGUUUGGUCCAGGUAUCAUUACCACAGGAAUUAUUACUACUGCAGAAUCAGUGUGUGUGAGUGUGCCUAUGUAUGUGUGCAUUUCUUAAAUAUCCUCUAAAAAUAAUGAUACAGGCAAGACAAUUUUAAUACGAACCUAUAACCAUUAUAUAUAAUGUUAUAUAGAGAGAGAAUUUUGACUGUGGUAGUAGUUACAUGUGUAUACACAUUUGUCAAAACUCAAUGACCACUUAAAACAGAAUUUUACUGCCUGUAAAUUAUACCUCAAAGUUGAUUUAAAAAACAGAACUUGGGAUGUAACAUGCGGUAUGGAGACUAUAGUUAUUAACCCUGUAUUGCGUAUUUUAAAGUUGCUUAAGAGUACAUCUUAAAAAGCCUCAUCGCAAGAAAAAAAGAUUUCUAACUAUGUAUGAUGAUGGAUGUUAACUAGACUUUUGUGAUCAUUUCACAAUGUACACAGAUACUAAAUCACUGAAACUAAUAUGUCUCAAUAAAAAAAUAGAGCUUUGUCUUAGUCACUUUUAGUCUACCUGUUAUUGCCUACUUUAAAAUAAAAAAAUAUAAACUUAAUAUAAACUUAUAUUCAUUUAGUAAAAUAAGUUCUGUCCAUAUAUUCUUCAUGACUAUAAAUAUUAAAUAUUUUAAACUUUCUAUAAUAAUGUUUUAUGUUGCUAUAGUUUACUUAGUAAACUCACUAAAAAUAUCUCACUAUUCUCAAAGUUCUAAGAAAUGAUGCUUCAUAAAAUGUGUGAAAAGAACUGUGUAACUAUUAUGUUAUACUUUUUAUUAGGAGGACAAUUGUUGGAAAUCUCAUCCUCAUUGCCACAAUACCUAAUAAAUAGUAGGAAAAAAUGAA
Long non-coding RNA from Herpailurus yagouaroundi (jaguarundi), 1486 nucleotides. RefSeq lists it as uncharacterized. The record is from RefSeq and is a predicted model, not a curated record. The transcript is spliced from 2 exons. Lineage: Eukaryota; Metazoa; Chordata; Mammalia; Carnivora; Felidae.